GACGAACGCUGGCGGCGUGCCUAAUACAUGCAAGUCGAGCGGACGAUUCGAAAGCUUGCUUUUGAAUCGUUAGCGGCGGACGGGUGAGUAACACGUGGGCAACCUGCCCUGUAGACGGGGAUAACACCGAGAAAUCGGUGCUAAUACCGGAUAACACGAAAUGUCGCAUGACGUUUCGUUGAAAGGCGGCGCAAGCUGCCGCUACAGGAUGGGCCCGCGGCGCAUUAGCUAGUUGGUGAGGUAACGGCUCACCAAGGCGACGAUGCGUAGCCGACCUGAGAGGGUGAUCGGCCACACUGGGACUGAGACACGGCCCAGACUCCUACGGGAGGCAGCAGUAGGGAAUCUUCCGCAAAGGACGAAAGUCUGACGGAGCAACGCCGCGUGAGCGAAGAAGGCCUUCGGGUCGUAAAGCUCUGUUGUUAGGGAAGAACAAGUAACGUAGUAACUGACGUUACUAUGACCGUACCUAACGAGAAAGCCACGGCUAACUACGUG
Molecule: ribosomal RNA, 498 nt
Filed under: uncultured bacterium
Lineage: Bacteria
Description: partial 16S ribosomal RNA
Rfam family: Bacterial small subunit ribosomal RNA
Source: RNAcentral